RNAcentral lists this transfer RNA (72 nucleotides) under Bos taurus (domestic cattle). It matches the Rfam family "tRNA". Rfam says of the family: Transfer RNA (tRNA) molecules are approximately 80 nucleotides in length. Their secondary structure includes four short double-helical elements and three loops (D, anti-codon, and T loops). Further hydrogen bonds mediate the characteristic L-shaped molecular structure. tRNAs have two regions of fundamental functional importance: the anti-codon, which is responsible for specific mRNA codon recognition, and the 3' end, to which the tRNAs corresponding amino acid is attached (by aminoacyl-tRNA synthetases). tRNAs cope with the degeneracy of the genetic code in two manners: having more than one tRNA (with a specific anti-codon) for a particular amino acid; and 'wobble' base-pairing, i.e. permitting non-standard base-pairing at the 3rd anti-codon position. Lineage: Eukaryota; Metazoa; Chordata; Mammalia; Artiodactyla; Bovidae. RNAcentral also lists the same sequence under 5 other names. The record is from Rfam by way of RNAcentral.
UCCCUGGUGGCUCAGAUGGUAAAGAAUCUGCCUGCAAUGCAGGAGACUCAGGUUCGAUCCCUGAGUAGGGAA